Pezoporus occidentalis (night parrot) is the source of this 325-nucleotide long non-coding RNA. RefSeq lists it as uncharacterized. The transcript has 3 exons. The record is from RefSeq and is a predicted model, not a curated record. Lineage: Eukaryota; Metazoa; Chordata; Aves; Psittaciformes; Psittacidae.
UAACAUCAUCUACCUACCUAGAUACCCACAGCCAAGGUGCAAAGACCACUCUGAGGGUAUUUGAAGGUACUUGAACACAUUUCAUCACUCAGGCAAGUCUGGGAAUACAGUAUCUUUGGCAUCCUCACAGAACUCAAAUGACUGGAAAGAAGUACUGACAAGUACGCCUGCAAAUUUAAGCAGGUAAGCAGAAAUCUUAACUUGGAUCCUCUUCAACAGAGAUAAGGAACCUAAAGCAGUUGAACAGCUGAAGCUUUCCUGUGCCCAAUGGGAAAUGAAGCUGUAAAUUCUGGGAACUGGGACUCAGCUCCCACACAGCUGUAGG